RNAcentral lists this ribosomal RNA (468 nucleotides) under uncultured bacterium. Its description in RNAcentral is "partial 16S ribosomal RNA". It matches the Rfam family "Bacterial small subunit ribosomal RNA", at positions 28 to 507 of the family's 1533-position model. The record is from RNAcentral.
GACGAACGCUGGCGGCGUGCUUAACACAUGCCAGUCGAACGGAAAGGCCCUGCUUUUGUGGGGUGCUCGAGUGGCGAACGGGUGAGUAACACGUGAGUAACCUGCCCUUGACUUUGGGAUAACUUCAGGAAACUGGGGCUAAUACCGGAUAGGAGCUCCUGCUGCAUGGUGGGGGUUGGAAAGUUUCGGCGGUUGGGGAUGGACUCGCGGCUUAUCAGCUUGUUGGUGGGGUAGUGGCUUACCAAGGCUUUGACGGGUAGCCGGCCUGAGAGGGUGACCGGCAACAUUGGGACUGAGAUACGGCCCAGACGCCUACGGGAGGCAGCAGUGGGGAAUAGUGCACAAUGGGCGGAAGCCUGAUGCAGCAACGCCGCGUGCGGGAUGACGGCCUUCGGGUUGUAAACCGCUUUCGCCUGUGACGAAGCGUGAGUGACGGUAAUGGGUAAAGAAGCACCGGCUAACUACGUG